This 1037-nucleotide ribosomal RNA is filed under the name Bacillus sp. (in: firmicutes). RNAcentral describes it as "bacterial SSU rRNA". It matches the Rfam family "Bacterial small subunit ribosomal RNA", at positions 36 to 1053 of the family's 1533-position model. Lineage: Bacteria; Bacillati; Bacillota; Bacilli; Caryophanales; Bacillaceae. The record is from RNAcentral.
CCGGGGGGGGUUGCUAAUACAUGCAAGUCGAGCGGACUUUAAAAGCUUGCUUUUAAAGUUAGCGGCGGACGGGUGAGUAACACGUGGGCAACCUGCCUGUAAGACUGGGAUAACUUCGGGAAACCGGAGCUAAUACCGGAUAAUCCUUUUCUACUCAUGUAGAAAAGCUGAAAGACGGUUUACGCUGUCACUUACAGAUGGGCCCGCGGCGCAUUAGCUAGUUGGUGAGGUAACGGCUCACCAAGGCAACGAUGCGUAGCCGACCUGAGAGGGUGAUCGGCCACACUGGGACUGAGACACGGCCCAGACUCCUACGGGAGGCAGCAGUAGGGAAUCUUCCGCAAUGGACGAAAGUCUGACGGAGCAACGCCGCGUGAGUGAUGAAGGUUUUCGGAUCGUAAAACUCUGUUGUUAGGGAAGAACAAGUACAAGAGUAACUGCUUGUACCUUGACGGUACCUAACCAGAAAGCCACGGCUAACUACGUGCCAGCAGCCGCGGUAAUACGUAGGUGGCAAGCGUUGUCCGGAAUUAUUGGGCGUAAAGCGCGCGCAGGCGGUCCUUUAAGUCUGAUGUGAAAGCCCACGGCUCAACCGUGGAGGGUCAUUGGAAACUGGGGGACUUGAGUGCAGAAGAGAAGAGUGGAAUUCCACGUGUAGCGGUGAAAUGCGUAGAGAUGUGGAGGAACACCAGUGGCGAAGGCGACUCUUUGGUCUGUAACUGACGCUGAGGCGCGAAAGCGUGGGGAGCAAACAGGAUUAGAUACCCUGGUAGUCCACGCCGUAAACGAUGAGUGCUAAGUGUUAGAGGGUUUCCGCCCUUUAGUGCUGCAGCAAACGCAUUAGCACUCCGCCUGGGGAGUACGGCCGCAAGGCUGAAACUCAAAGGAAUUGACGGGGGCCCGCACAAGCGGUGGAGCAUGUGGGUUAAUUCGAAGCAACGCGAAGAACCAUACCAAGUCUUGACAUCCUCUGACACUCCUAGAGAUAGGACGUUCCCCUUCGGGGGAACAGAGUGACAGGUGUUGCAUGGAUUGUC